This 497-nucleotide ribosomal RNA is filed under the name uncultured bacterium. RNAcentral's name for it is "partial 16S ribosomal RNA". It matches the Rfam family "Bacterial small subunit ribosomal RNA", at positions 28 to 507 of the family's 1533-position model. The record is from RNAcentral.
GACGAACGCUGGCGGCGUGCCUAAUACAUGCAAGUCGAACGCUGAAGAGAGGAGCUUGCUCUUCUUGGAUGAGUUGCGAACGGGUGAGUAACGCGUAGGUAACCUGCCUUGUAGCGGGGGAUAACUAUUGGAAACGAUAGCUAAUACCGCAUAACAAUAGGUGACACAUGUCAUUUAUUUGAAAGGGGCAAUUGCUCCACUACAAGAUGGACCUGCGUUGUAUUAGCUAGUAGGUGAGGUAACGGCUCACCUAGGCGACGAUACAUAGCCGACCUGAGAGGGUGAUCGGCCACACUGGGACUGAGACACGGCCCAGACUCCUACGGGAGGCAGCAGUAGGGAAUCUUCGGCAAUGGGGGCAACCCUGACCGAGCAACGCCGCGUGAGUGAAGAAGGUUUUCGGAUCGUAAAGAUCUGUUGUAAGUCAAGAACGAGUGUGAGAGUGGAAAGUUCACACUGUGACGGUAGCUUACCAGAAAGGGACGGCUAACUACGUG